ACCCGCUGAAUUUAAGCAUAUCAUUAAGCGGGGGAAAAGAAACAAAAUUGGAUUCCUUUAGUAGCGGCGAGCGAAGAGGGAAAAGUUCAUUGUGUAAAUCAGUAGUUUACUGCUGAGUUGUAGUGUCAGUAUGGUAGGCCGACGAUUUCCAGGAUGGAAAGCUGUUUGGAAAAAGGCACAUGUUUGGGUGAAAGUCCUGACAUCUUAUCCUGUAUUGUUUACGGUCUUUUGUACAAGAGUCUCGCUCUUUGAAACCAGAGUGACAAUAGGUGGUAGUUAUCACCUAAGACAGAGUAUUGCUGAGGUAAGCGAUAGCAUAAAAGUACCGUGAGGGAAAAUUGCAAAGUACUCUGGAAAGAGAGUGAAAUAGAACUGAAGUCGUUUAAAGGUAAGUAGGUGAAUGAUGCACAUCUAACAACAAAUUUUUCGGGUUUGUUUCUAUGCGUGUGCGUUACUGAAACAUUUGUUGUGAUCAUGUUUACAUGUUUUCAUGAAUGAUUUUAGUUUCGUUAUCUCGAAGGAUGAAACCAGACUUCGUAAGCGCAAUGUUUCGUUCACCUGUCCCGUCUUGAAACACGGACCAAGGAGUUUAGUAUGCAUGCAAGUGGAAGAGAAGAAACUUUUCGCGAAUCUAACGAGAUUGUUGGGCAGCCGAUUAUCAUUGGCUUCACCAACCACCAGGUGGCAUUCUUUGUUCAUCUGUGUGAAAGCAUGCAUAAUAAGACCCGAAAGGACUUGAACUAUACCUGUUUUGAGCAAAGCUGGGAGAAAUCCUUGUGGAGGCUCAGAUCGAUACUGACGUGCAAAUCGUUCGUAUAAGAUGGGUAUAGGGGCGAAAGACUAAUCGAAAGUCCUAGUAGCUGGUUCCCUUCUAAGUUUCCCUCAGGAUAGCUGGCGUCUUUCAAGUUGCUCCAUGUAAAGUUAAUGAUUGGGAGGGAGGGAGAUUGUUAAUCUUCCACUCACUUUCAAACUUUUAAAUGGUGCCUCCAUACGUGCAGGAAUACUUCAUGGUUGUGGAUCAAUUAUGACGCUCAGUGGGCCACGCUUUGGUAAGCAGAGCUGGCGAUAGGGAUUACUCCCUUAGCCUAGUUAAGGUGCCGAACUGCUCGCUCAUUUAUACUAAAAGGUUAUCAAUUCAUCUUGACAGCAGGACGGUGGUCAUGGAAGUCGACAUCCGCUAAGGAAUGUGUAACAACUCACCUGCCGAAUGAAUUGGUCCUGAAAAUGGAUGGCGUCGCAGCGAGUGACCAAUGCUAGGCAACCACAUAAGUGUAUUGUGGUUUGUAGAAGGGCGUGGGCAUUUCGACGAAGCAUAGUUGUGAAGCUAUGUUGAGAAGUGUCUAGUGCAGAUCUUAGUUGUAGUAGCAAUUAUUCAAUUUCGAUCAUUGAAGACUGAUGUGGAGGAAGUUUCCAUGUCAACAUUCUGUGGACAUGGGUCAAACGGUCCUAAAGAGAGACUGCUAGUCAUUACACUGUAAUUCGCCCAGUCUCUUAAAGGGUGUUUGGUUAAUAUUCCAAACAAAUGUGCGCUGGUGUUUGGAUGGCAACAUCAGGGUCAUGGUCUUUCGAACAGUGGAACCGAACUGCGUUUUCUAUGCAAUUUAACAGUGUUAUUCCCUUGAAUCAGUUUCACUGGAGACAGGGAGUCUAUGCUGGCAAAGGGCCUUAUUCUUUGAGGCUUUCGGUUCCCACUGUCCAUUCAAAAAGCGCUAUGACUAUACACACCAGCUAUGCCGUACUGGUAUCCGCAUCUGGUCUCCAAGGUUCGUAGCCUCUUGAUACUGGAAACUUGUAGGUGAAGGAAGUCGGCACCUUAGAUCUGUAACUUCGGAAGAAGGAUUGGCUCUGAGGGUGGGGAGUAUGCACUGUUAUUGAACUUGUGUGACUGCCUGACAUACCUGAGAUUCGUUCUUAAGGUGUUGUGGGUUGGUUAUGCAUUUUCAUAGCGGUUAUAGUAUACUUCUCUUAAACUAACUCAGAACUGAAGCGGUCAAGAGGAAUCCGACUGUUUAAUUAAAACAAAGCAUUGUGAUAUUGUUAACACAAUUUAACACAAUGUGAUUUCUGCCCAGUGCUCUGAAUGUCACUUUGAUGAGAUUCAACUAAGCGCGGGUAAACGGCGGGAGUAACUAUGACUCUCUUAAGGUAGCCAAAUGCCUCGUCAUCUAAUUAGUGACGCGCAUGAAUGGAUUAAUGAGGUUCCUUCUGCCUCCACCUACUUUCCAGUGAAACCACAGCGCAGGGAACGGUCUGCGAAUGAAUAACGGGGAAAGAAGACCCUGUUGAGCUUGACUCUAGUCCGACUUUGUAAAACGUUUUGGGAGGUGCAGUAUAAGUGGGAGCUUCGGCGUUCUUGAGAUACCACUACUUCUGAAUUCGUUUUACUUAUUCCGUGUGUUUUGAAAGAAGUUUCUUCUGUAUUCACAUACUAAAGAACAUUGUUCCAAAUAUCACGGAAGAAAGAGUCGGGUGGGGAGUUUGGCUGGGGCGGCACAUCUGUUAAAAGCCAACGCAGGUGUCCAAUGAGCAGCUCAGUGAGAACAGAAAUCUCACGUUGACCAAAAGGGGAUAUGCUGCUUUAACCUAGUUUUCCAGUAUGAAACUAGGAUGCGAAAGCACGGCCUAUCGAUCCUUUCUGUUGAUGAAUAUUCAGCGAGAGGUGCCAGAAAAGUUACCACAGGGAUAACUGGCUUGUGGCAGCCAAGCGUUCAUAGCGACGUUGCUUUUUGAUCCUUCGAUGUCGGCUCUUCCUACCAUUGAGAUGCAGCUGUCUCAUAGUGUCGGAUUGUUCACCCGUUAAUAGGGAACGUGAGCUGGGUUUAGACCGUCGUGAGACAGGUUAGUUUUACCCUGUUAUUCAGUUACUUUAGCAGUAAUUCAACUCAGUACGAGAGGAACAGUUGAGUCAAACAAAUGGGUAAGCAAAGUACUGAUCAGUACGUUUUGCAUUCCUAUGUUUGUCAGAUAUCGACUGAACGCCUCUAAGUUGGUA
This 2992-nucleotide ribosomal RNA is filed under the name Crepidula fornicata. RNAcentral describes it as "eukaryotic LSU rRNA". It matches the Rfam family "Eukaryotic large subunit ribosomal RNA". The record is from RNAcentral. Lineage: Eukaryota; Metazoa; Mollusca; Gastropoda; Littorinimorpha; Calyptraeidae.